This 2120-nucleotide long non-coding RNA is filed under the name Pelobates cultripes (western spadefoot toad). The stretch from base 1449 to 1519 matches the Rfam family "mir-124 microRNA precursor family". Lineage: Eukaryota; Metazoa; Chordata; Amphibia; Anura; Pelobatidae. The record is from RNAcentral.
AAGCGAGGGGAAAAGACCGCACCACUGCAUCCGUCACUGCCAAAAAUAUCAAGAGAUGCUCCCAUGUUGCAGCUAAGGCUUGGUGACUGAGCUUCAAUGCCUCCUUCCCUCUCUAAAAUGGUACUGUAAAUGCUUUUCUUUAAUUACUAUUACAUAUUUUGUUUGCAUAUUGCAAUUUUGUUUUGUUUUUUGCUUUUUGAUUCAUUGCAGCGUUUGUAUUUCUUCCACUGAAUUAAUUGCUCUCUUUUUCAAGCAAUCUUUGUACAUUCCAUUUCCCCCUUCCUAACGUUACUGUAGUUUUGUUGUUUGUCUUAUAUUUAAUAUUAUUGUUAAAUUGUUACCUUGUAAUGUAAACAUGUUGCUGAGAUUUUACAUGCAUACGUUGCUUUUUUUCGUUAUUUUUGUUUUUUUCCCCCCCAUUCUUUUGUGAACAGAUAAACAGAUCGUCAGAUGGUCUAGAUUACAUGCUGAGCAUUGUAUAACAUGUCAUUAUUAAUAUUUUAUUUAACUUUAUAUUGAUGGCUUUGGAAGAUGACUUGUUCUUCAAUGCUUGGAAUGUCCACCAUUAAUAUGCCUGUUUUUUUUUCUUCUGUUUUUUUAAGGACUAACAUGGAUCCCUGGGCUUGAGAAGCGGAUCACUCCUUACAUUGUGGUGUCAUUGUAACAUUUGGAAAUGAAACCUUACGGAUCCACCCAUUCCCAUGACUGAAAGUGGGUCUGCAGCUGACAGAUAUGUCAUUUCCCAGUCUUCGUCCUGAUGCCAUAUCACAGAUCCACCAAUAGAGGUCAACCUUGCCCAGUUCUAGGGCUUUCCUUACUGCCCACAAAUUGACUCCAGAAUGGUUAAUGUCCUCUUUACCAUCUCCACUUCUCCUCGACUAACUUCUCACAGUGAGAAUCAAUAUGGAUGCCAUGUCAGUUUAAGCAUUUAAAGGGCAGUGAAAGGCGUAGAUUCCUCAAUUCCUUUUUUUUUUUUUGUACGAACAGAGCAACUCUAGCCAGGCCAUAUGGACUGUACGUACUCGCUAGGGAAUGGGCAGGUGCGAUUGAGUUAUUUUUGCUUCCCAUUAUAAGGAAAGACGACUCGUCCAGACCUUUCCUUUUAAGUUCAUCUGUUCAAAAGAGGACUCAAAAAAAUGAAAGCCUAUCUUUAUUAUUAAGUCAUUAGAAAAAGAAUCACAACAUUGCAAAAUAUGUUACCAACUCAAUGGAACUCAAAUGAUGAGGAUUGUUUUUUUCAGGUUUUGUUCGCAGACCAGUUUGAUUGUUGACUUUAUUCUGAAGGAACAUAUUUAAUUGGAGCUACGACACUGCAGUCAGGCAAUCUCCUCGCGUUAGCAUUCUAUAAUAGAACGUGGCUCUGGAAGAGACCAUUGUGUAAUGGAAGGGGGUCGGUGUUCUUUAAGGGACGUUGAACCAAUCGCCAUUUUGAUUUGACCCAUGUCUCUGACUCUCCGUGUUCACAGCGGACCUUGAUUUAAUGUCAUACAAUUAAGGCACGCGGUGAAUGCCAAGAGUGGAGCUUAACGCUGCUCUGAAGACCUUCUUCUCAUCUCAACAAAAGACAAGCUAAAGCGCAUUAGCAGUAAUUGAUUUGAGUGCUCUGCAAAAAAAAAAAUGGGAAUGCAACAGAAUCGAUGCAUUAUGUAUAAUUAUAGGACGCAUUUUACGCCAAGCUAUGCAAUUACUGAUACCUUUAAAGUUUAAUAUGCACAGUGCAGCUUUUACAUCGUCUACAUUUUAGCCUUAUAUUGUGUAAAAUAAACGUGUGCUACAUGUCUGCUUAAUGUUUUAUCUCCGUUAUUAUCCUAGAAGAUCUAAGGUAAUUAUUUGUCUGUGAUUUGUAUAUAUCCACCAGAAAAAAAUGUAGAAAACACAAAAAAAGAUCAGAUAUAGUGAUUUCCUAACACAAAAAUCAUGCAAGGUUGUCUAAAUAAUUAUGCCAUAGAGAUUGCAAUCAUAAAUCUUUAAUAUUCUAUUUUUUCACUGUAACACAAUAUAGUGUAUUAUUUGUGAAGGUUCUUUUUUUUUUUCAGAUGAGCAUACAAUUUCAACAACCGGUUUAUUAAGUACAGACAGCAUUGUCUUGCCUGCGAGGUACCAUUGAGUUAUUAUGUUGC